Molecule: non-coding RNA, 135 nt
Organism: Triticum aestivum (bread wheat)
Lineage: Eukaryota; Viridiplantae; Streptophyta; Magnoliopsida; Poales; Poaceae
Source: Rfam
GUAGUAUUCCCUCCGUCCCAAAAUUCUUGUCUUACAUUUCAUUAGAUACGGAUGUAUCUAACACUAAAAUGUAACUAGAUACAUCCGUAUUUAGACAAAUUUAAGACAAGAAUUUUGGGACGGAGGGAGUACAAA